AUGAGCCCGUUGGCUCUUGGUUCAUCAUCGUUGUCGUUGCCAACAACCUCAACACCUCCCAUGUCUCCCUUAGCAUCAGUGUCUUCUCCUAAAAAUGGAAACUUGUGGCAGAACAAGAUUAACCUUACCCCUCCUGCUCUGCAGCUCCCUGGUAGUCGGUUAAAGGCUACCUUGAGUGCAAGAGAUUUGGAUUUAGAGAUGGAAUUGCUCGGAUUAGAAAAGAACGUGAGCCAAUUACAACAUCAACAACAGUUGAUUGACGAGAUUAGCCGGCUCUCAUCUCCUUACUGGAAUGCAGAUGUAAGCAGGACUGCAGAGU
Molecule: long non-coding RNA, 319 nt
Filed under: Cucumis sativus (cucumber)
Lineage: Eukaryota; Viridiplantae; Streptophyta; Magnoliopsida; Cucurbitales; Cucurbitaceae
Description: long non-coding RNA (CSAT_LNC001814)
Source: RNAcentral